Molecule: long non-coding RNA, 307 nt
Filed under: Cicer arietinum (chickpea)
Lineage: Eukaryota; Viridiplantae; Streptophyta; Magnoliopsida; Fabales; Fabaceae
Description: long non-coding RNA (CARI_LNC001135)
Source: RNAcentral
AACCACCGCAACCAAAGCCAAGGAGAAAAAGGCACCGCCCUAAGGUCAUUAAAGAAGGAAAACCCAAAAAAACUCCAAAGCCAGCUACCCCAAAGGCUGCUCAACCAAAAGAAAACGCAACUGGCAAGAGGAAGUAUGUAAGAAGAAAAGGAUUGGACAAAACUCCUACUCCUGCAACACAAGUGACAGAAGAAUUCACUGAAGAAAUACCUGAAGCAGCCAAAACGCCAUGUAGAAGGACCUUAAGUUUUGGCGCAGGAACAAAAGACCAGAGUUCUGCAGGCAGAGAAAAUACAACUGCACUUCU